AGUUUGUGGACCAGUGCGUCUCAGUGUCUCCUGCUUAGAGGACGGUGCUCUCACUGUCCAGGUCACAGUCUUUAGGUAGAGACAGGAAACAGGACGAAGACGAAGAGGACGAGGACGACGAGGACAUCGCUGGCUGCUGCUCUGCAGAGAACUCUGGGAUCAGAGCUCGACUCAGUCCUCUGAACGACAUCACCGGGUCUGAGGGACACAGAGACGCAACGAGUUACGAGACGACGGAGACGAGAACUGUCACUUCCUGUGACAGCAAACCGUCAGAGAGUUGAUCUCUCACCUCUGCGCAUCAUAUGAGGACUUGGCCCCAUGGAUCCGGCUCCUGAUGUCCCGGUGCCCAGCUGUCCUGCAGCCUGGCCACCUCCUCCUCCUGCUCCUCCUGCUCCUCCUGCUCCUCCUCCUGCUCCUCCUCCUGCUCCAGAGCCGUUCCUCUGGAGCAGAGGCGUCGGCGCGGCUGUGGAGUCUCGUAGCUUUGGGUUACUUCAGAGUAAAUGAAAGAGAAAUGAUUAAAUAAAGGCUUUUUAAAAACGUCA
Long non-coding RNA from Solea senegalensis (Senegalese sole), 545 nucleotides. RefSeq lists it as uncharacterized. The transcript is spliced from 2 exons. The record is from RefSeq and is a predicted model, not a curated record. Lineage: Eukaryota; Metazoa; Chordata; Actinopteri; Pleuronectiformes; Soleidae.